Molecule: long non-coding RNA, 1799 nt
Organism: Orbicella faveolata
Lineage: Eukaryota; Metazoa; Cnidaria; Anthozoa; Scleractinia; Merulinidae
Source: RefSeq, a predicted model, not a curated record
UAAAAACGUUUCUCAUUUGACUAAGGGGCAUCUCUUUAUUCCUUGCGAAAUCUUUGUUACACUUUGCGGCUUUUAGAAGAAGGAUCAAAUAUAUAAGAAAAUACUUGGAAUAGGAAACCGGGGAUUUUAUAACGUCUUAUCUGUUAAGAGAUGUAACUUAAAAUAUGCUUUUGGCCUGAGGGAGAUAAGAAAAUAUUAGCGCACCAGACAUUAAAUGGUUUGGUAGUCAGUGAAACCAUGUUAACGCACAGGAAUGUUUAUAGCGUGCAUUGUCAUUGAUAAUACAAAAGACGCUGGCCUCACGGAAAUCCAUGAAAUACACGUGACCUACUGGGAAUAAAUAAGAGCACCGGCCUGCAGUCUUCGUCAGUACAUGAAGAAAGUACUACAUAUCUCGCCAGGAUCCGUCCUCACAAGUUCUAAGUUCCAAGGAAAGUAAAGAAAGCUAUGGAAGCAAGCUUUGUUUGUGCCUGAGGUUGUUAAUUUGGGGCACUCUUACCGUACAAGGACAAAUUCCAAACAAAUUCAAGAAGAACAUUUUGGAAGUUGCUGCCAGGCAAAUUCCUGCAGCCCUCGAAGAUGCGCAUGCGAAGUCUUCUGAGCGCGCUGCGAAACUGCCGUCCCCCUUGAAUAUAGCGAAUGAUGACGGCAAUGAUGUCUCAAAAUGAUUAGUUGGCACAAUAAGUACUGAAUAAGUAACUGAAUAAAGCGGGUAAUGGGUGCGGAUAUUGAAUGUAACAAUGGAAUAAAUAAAGGCUGAAUCAUUCAGAAACAUUUUUUCCUGCCUCCAUCAUGUAUGAAAACAGCAAGUAAUAAAGUAAAUCAAAGGGACCCCAUGGGAAUUUUGGAAUGCCACGUUAUUGAAUUCUUUCCGAAAAAGAAUAAACAAGUUUGAUUGCAUUAGGACAUUAUAUGAAAGUUGACAAAAUUAAUUUAGACUUAGGAAAUGUUUGGCUCUUUUCAAGUACUAGUUCAAGUCAGAAAGAAAAAAAAACAGAAAAACAGAAGGUUUGAGAAGGAAGAAACCUUUCUUAAAUUCGCACAAGGCAGACGCUAUAAUAGGGGACAUAAAAUGCGACAAAGAAGCAUUUUUAUGGACGAGAUAGUUCCCCUGAUAUAAAGUUUGCUAUGUUUAAACCAAAUCGCGUCAUCGUGUGUGGCACGCGUGCGUAUUGCUGCAAGGGCGCCGCAUGGAUAUGAAUCGAGACAGAACAUCGCUUUAGUGAAUCUGACACUGAUGUUUUUUUAUGAGAAGUUUUCAUUCCAAAUUUAAAUCGAACUCUCGUUGAUUACGUAUAUACAGCUGUUUCGAGAAAGAUUGUAGGAAGAAAGCGUAAACGUGCACGUGACAACCCCGAGAGUUAGUAUGAAUAGAAGUACGUAGUUGCUACACGCACAGUCACGUUCCGAGAGCCUGCGUGACCCUUGCCCAGCAGAACGGGAAACGAAGGACUCUGGGGUAGAGUGUUUUCAAUCACAUGGUUCUCCUUCCUCCGGCUAAAUUACGCAGGCGUGAACGUGUAGUUCAGGAUGGCAUCUGACUCCUCGGCUGACUCGGAGACUUUCCACAAAGCUAUCAAGUUUUCCUUAGAGAAACUAUGUAAACCCGAACGAGAAUUGAAGAGAGGACAGUAUGAUGCCACAAGGGACAAUCAGGGAUGGACUAUUGGUAGCAAGGGCAGUCAUUCAAUUAAAUGACUCAUAUGACAUCUCAAAAGUCUGCAAAAAUAUGACUGACGUAAUGUCCAAUCCAAUCCAAUGCAAGCAAAAAAAUAUUUUGGAUUAUUUUGACCUUGAUG